RNAcentral lists this transfer RNA (62 nucleotides) under Truljalia hibinonis. RNAcentral's name for it is "tRNA-Ser". It matches the Rfam family "tRNA". Rfam says of the family: Transfer RNA (tRNA) molecules are approximately 80 nucleotides in length. Their secondary structure includes four short double-helical elements and three loops (D, anti-codon, and T loops). Lineage: Eukaryota; Metazoa; Arthropoda; Insecta; Orthoptera; Gryllidae. The record is from RNAcentral.
AGUUAAUAAGCUAAAAAGCAUUUGUUUUGAAAACAAAAGAUAGAAUAACAUUCUAUUAACUU